RNAcentral lists this ribosomal RNA (507 nucleotides) under uncultured bacterium. RNAcentral describes it as "bacterial SSU rRNA". It matches the Rfam family "Bacterial small subunit ribosomal RNA", at positions 28 to 520 of the family's 1533-position model. The record is from RNAcentral.
GAUGAACGCUAGCUACAGGCUUAACACAUGCAAGUCGAGGGGCAGCAUCGCGAUAGCUUGCUAUUGCGGAUGGCGACCGGCGCACGGGUGAGUAACGCGUAUCCAACCUUCCCGCAACUGGGGGAUAACCUUGCGAAAGUAAGACUAAUACCCCAUGGUCUCCAUAGAAGGCAUCUGAAAUGGAGUAAAGGUUUCGGCCGGUUGCGGAUGGGGAUGCGUCCGAUUAGCUUGACGGCGGGGUAACGGCCCACCGUGGCAUCGAUCGGUAGGGGUUCUGAGAGGAAGGUCCCCCCACAUUGGAACUGAGACACGGUCCAAACUCCUACGGGAGGCAGCAGUGAGGAAUAUUGGUCAAUGGGCGGAAGCCUGAACCAGCCAAGUAGCGUGAAGGACGACUGCCCUAUGGGUUGUAAACUUCUUUUAUGCGGGGAUAAAGUUCGCCACGUGUGGCGUUUUGCAGGUACCGCAUGAAUAAGGACCGGCUAAUUCCCGUGCCAGCAGCCGCGG